RNAcentral lists this long non-coding RNA (256 nucleotides) under Musa acuminata (dwarf banana). Its description in RNAcentral is "long non-coding RNA (MACU_LNC005959)". Lineage: Eukaryota; Viridiplantae; Streptophyta; Magnoliopsida; Zingiberales; Musaceae. The record is from RNAcentral.
CUCUUCUGCUCGCCCUCUCUUCUCGGGGACUGGGACGAUGCGGGCUCUUGGAAGGCCCCCUUCCGUCCCGUGGAUCUGCUCCCCCUCCUCCCCCACAGGGCGGCGUGGCCCGUCCUCCGCUCCCUCCGCAGCGCCGUUGACCUCCUCCCCACCUUCGUGGGUGCGGCCUCCUCCGCCGAGGAUGACCUCGAGUGGAAAGGCGCGUGCUUUUACAAGACCACCGCGUGGAUGGAGUUCCACAACAAGAGCCAGUCCC